This 63-nucleotide transfer RNA is filed under the name Gynaikothrips ficorum. Its description in RNAcentral is "tRNA-Leu". The record is from RNAcentral. Lineage: Eukaryota; Metazoa; Arthropoda; Insecta; Thysanoptera; Phlaeothripidae.
UCUAAUAUGACAGAAAAAUGUAAUGAAUUUAAGAUUCAUAAAUGAAUUUUUAUUCUAUUAGAA